UGGGCAACCUGCCCUCAGCUCUGGGAUAACUCCGGGAAACCGGGGCUAAUACCGGAUACGACCUCGAGCGGCAUCUAUCGAGGUGGAAAGUUUUUCGGCUAGAGAUGGGCCCGCGGCCUAUCAGCUUGUUGGUGAGGUAACGGCCCACCAAGGCGACGACGGGUAGCCGGCCUGAGAGGGUGAUCGGCCACACUGGGACUGAGACACGGCCCAGACCUCCGUACGGGAGGCA
This 232-nucleotide ribosomal RNA is filed under the name uncultured bacterium. RNAcentral describes it as "partial 16S ribosomal RNA". It matches the Rfam family "Bacterial small subunit ribosomal RNA", at positions 118 to 350 of the family's 1533-position model. The record is from RNAcentral.